This 380-nucleotide ribosomal RNA is filed under the name uncultured eukaryote. Its description in RNAcentral is "partial 18S ribosomal RNA". It matches the Rfam family "Eukaryotic small subunit ribosomal RNA", at positions 592 to 976 of the family's 1831-position model. The record is from RNAcentral.
CAAUAGCGUAUAUUAAAGUUGUUGCAGUUAAAAAGCUCGUAGUUGGAUUUGUGGCGUACGGUGUGUUCCGGGCACUUGUUGUCUGAGUAACCUGCUGUUGCCAUCCUUGGGUGGAACCUGUGUGGCAUUAGGUUGUCGUGCAGGGGAUGCCCAUCAUUUACUGUGAAAAAAUUAGAGUGUUCAAAGCAGGCUUAUGCCGUUGAAUAUAUUAGCAUGGAAUAAUGAGAUAGGACUUUUUUGCUAUUUUGUUGGUUUGCGCAAAGAGGUAAUGAUUAAUAGGGACAGUUGGGGGUAUUCGGAUUCCAUUGUCAGAGGUGAAAUUCUUGGAUUUUUGGAAGACGAACUACUGCGAAAGCAUUUACCAAGGAUGUUUUCAUUAA